Raphanus sativus (radish) is the source of this 1582-nucleotide long non-coding RNA. RefSeq lists it as uncharacterized. Lineage: Eukaryota; Viridiplantae; Streptophyta; Magnoliopsida; Brassicales; Brassicaceae. The transcript is spliced from 3 exons. The record is from RefSeq and is a predicted model, not a curated record.
UCUAAAUUGUUUCUCUCCAAGCCACGAUCUCCACUUCUCUCUCAUAUAAACUGUUUUUUUUUUAUUAUGGUAAAAAUUAAAUCAGUUCUUCAAGCGAUGUUCCUUAAAAGCUUUCUUCUACAAAUCCCAGUUGUUCAGCGACGCAAAACAACUAAUCCCUUAAAUCUCUCCUAAACUUUCAGUAUUGAUCUUAAACAGGUUUCUUUGUAACUUUUUCUGGAUCAGUUUUUUUUUUAUUGUUCAUUGCCUGGAUUAAUACUUCAAAACCCACUAUCAACAAUUUUUUAGAUUGAUAUAGCGGAAUACAGUCAUUUUUAAAUUGAUACAGUCAUUUGCUUGCGUCAUGGAUUGUGGAGGUCGAGUUUCAAAUUGUGUAGAGAAGAAAUUGACACUGGUGUGAUUUUGGAGAAUGUACGUGUAUUAAUGACAUAUACGGGAUUCUGAAGAAGCAUCAAAGCUGAUACUGAUUUUGAAGAAGAGUUAAUGGAUGGUAUAGGAAGGUAAAUCGAAAACGUUUUAACCAUUUAUGUGAAAUUGUGUUUUUGGUUUAAGGUGUUUAUUAUCUCAAAUAAAUUUUUCAACUUUAUUGCAUCCUCUUCAAUGUCAGGAAAAAUAGGCAUUAAAUUCAGAUAAUCAAUUUAUUAAACUCAAAGGUAUUUGUUACGUUCUCUUUCUCGCAUAUAUAUACAUAUAAUUUCUUAACUAUGCUUUCGCAUCAACAUAUCAUUUAGAUUAGAGUUUCUAAUCGAGUUUGCAUGGUUUAGUCAUGUCUGAUGUGUUGCUUAUCAGUUAUGUCAUUUAGUUUAAAAGGUAUAGCAUCAUACUUUAAGUACUCAAGAUCAUCUAUUCUCAAGCUAAUGAGUAAAUUAAAUUUAGAAUUUAAUAUUAUUUUUUCAAUUGUUUACUGGUUUUUAUAUGCAGAUAGAGAUACUAAAAAAGUAUUUUUUUGUAACUGAGUAAAUAAAGUAUUGGUAAGCUAGAAAACGGCCAAUCUAUAAUUUGUACUUUUCUAAUGCUCUUGGGAAUGAGGUUUUUUUAACUCUCGAUUUCGUUGCUUUUUAAAUUGAAUUGCAAUCUAUUUAGCCUUCCCUUAUUCAUAUAUUGACGAAUAGUCUGAUUUUCUUAGUGUGAUAUUGGGAAGAUAGACGAUACUGUGAUUUGGCUCUUAAAGUAGUUAAGUUUAAUAGCUAAAGCUCAUUGCAGAUUCUAGACAUUAAACUAUCAUAACAGAGGUAUGGUUUUAUUUAAUGUUCCUUAUUACUGCUUAUAGUUUGCAAUUAAAAUGUGCUAAGACUGCAAUCUGAUUUCAUAGAUCUUGGUUGAGAAUUAUAUAGACGAUAUCAGUUUUGCUGAAAAUGGACUUCCACCUGUAGGUUUCAAGGCCUUCAAUGGCAUAACAUAAGUUAGCAAGAAUGAGAGCCUCUUUGAUUGAUAACAAUAAAAUGUGGAUGAUCGCGACUUGUCCAAUCUGGAGAAAUCAUAUAACAGUCUGAAGGAUGGUAACCUUAUCUUGUGUUAGUAAGACGAUGAAUGAUGAAAGAGUUCUUAUAGUAGUAUUAUACUGAUAAAAAGCAUUAACAUC